RNAcentral lists this long non-coding RNA (262 nucleotides) under Lathyrus oleraceus (garden pea). Its description in RNAcentral is "Pisum sativum (pea) long non-coding RNA (PSAT_LNC020971)". Lineage: Eukaryota; Viridiplantae; Streptophyta; Magnoliopsida; Fabales; Fabaceae. The record is from RNAcentral.
AAUAAAAUAAAAGAAAUAAAAAGGAUCGAGACAAGAACCUUACUCUCUUAGCAUAGGCUUGAAGCCCUUAGUUGCAAGGUCUUUGACUGUGCCCAAGAAAGGGAUGUGGGACAGGUAGCUAAGUAAAAAACCAACCCCGUAGUACAAGUACAACUACAAGAGGGGGCCCUACCAGUCAUAGUCUUCACUCUCCCCCAUAAGAACUAAAUUCCUGGAGUUCUUACUUCCUUAGUAGACAUCCCAUCUCGUAUCUGUAUCUGUC